UGGGGAAUAUUGCACAAUGGGCGGAAGCCUGAUGCAGCGACGCCGCGUGAGGGAUGGAGGCCUUCGGGUUGUAAACCUCUUUCAGUAAGGGUGAAGGCUCUCUUUUGUGGAGGGUUGACAGUACUUGCAGAAGAAGCGCCGGCUAACUACGUGCCAGCAGCCGCGGUAAUACGUAGGGCGCGAGCGUUGUCCGGAAUUAUUGGGCGUAAAGGGCUUGUAGGUGGCGUGUCGCGUCUGCUGUGAAAUUCCAGGGCUUAACUUUGGGAUUGCAGUGGGUACGGGCAUGCUAGAGUGCAGUAGGGGAGAUUGGAAUUCCUGGUGUAGCGGUGAAAUGCGCAGAUAUCAGGAGGAACACCGGUGGCGAAGGCGGGUCUCUGGGCUGUUACUGACGCUGAGGAGCGAAAGCGUGGGGAGCGAACAGG
RNAcentral lists this ribosomal RNA (422 nucleotides) under Verrucomicrobiota bacterium. RNAcentral describes it as "Verrucomicrobia bacterium partial 16S ribosomal RNA". It matches the Rfam family "Bacterial small subunit ribosomal RNA", at positions 355 to 776 of the family's 1533-position model. The record is from RNAcentral. Lineage: Bacteria; Pseudomonadati; Verrucomicrobiota.